GGGCUGCUGUGAAACAGGAGACAUUGUCCCUCUGGCUUCUGAUAUGGGCAUUCUAGGGGCAAAGCCAAGGAAGAGUCAAGCACCAGAAAUUAUAAGAGGAAGCCAGGUUUAUUGUGAACAAGGACACGGGUGGCGCUGUGGUCUAAACCACUGAGCCUCUUGGGCUUGCCAAUCAGAAGGUCAGGGGUUCGAAUCCCCAUGAUGGGGUGAGCUCCCAGUGCUCUGUCUCAGCUCCUGCCCACCUAGCAGUUCAAAAGCACGCCAGUGCAAACAGAUAAAUAGGUACCACUGUGGCGGGAAGGUAAACAGCGUUUCUGUUCACUCUGGCUUCUGUCACGGUGUCCCGUUGCGCCAGAAGUGAUUUAGUCCUGCUGGCCACAUGACCUGGAAAGCUGUCUGUGGAUAAACGCCAGCUCCCUUGGCCUGAAAGCGAGAUGAGCGCCACACCCCAUAGUCACCUUUGACUGGACUUAGUCAUCCAGGGUUCUUUACCUUCUUUUCUCUUUUACCUUUAUUGUGAACAGGAGUUGGUCUUCUUGGCAGCUAAAAUGGAACUUUCAUGGUUUUUAUCAAUGAUGUAAAUUGAUUUUCUCACAUAUAACAAAUAUAGCAAUCAACAUGAAAACAAAGACAAAUAUUUGAAGGAUAAUUUUGAAGAGAAAAUAACAAAUACAUUUCCACCCAAAACUCACUUAUUUUGAGGGGAGAGUGCUUUUGCUCUCAGGGCCUAACUUGCAGGUUUCCCACAGGUGGUUGUCUGGCUACUGCGGAAACAGGAGGCUGAUGUCCUUUGGAAAAUAGUUCACCAUUGCUUUUUUGCUGCUACAACCCACCAAGCACUCCUCCUGCAAGGAACAGUGUACAGAGAGUAACACAAGAACAAAGCCCCUCGUCUUGCCUCCUUUCCCUUCUCAGACUACAAAGUUCAAGCAAUUACAUCUCACCACAGCUGUCCCGCAGAGUUUGUCCAUUGUUACUCAGGUACAAAGUAAAACUACACCGAGUUUCAGUAAAGUCAUCAUCUACUUGAUAUAAUAAACAACAACAACAA
Long non-coding RNA from Podarcis raffonei (Aeolian wall lizard), 1051 nucleotides. RefSeq lists it as uncharacterized. NCBI's taxonomy places the organism in Eukaryota, Metazoa, Chordata, Lepidosauria, Squamata, Lacertidae. The record is from RefSeq and is a predicted model, not a curated record. The transcript is spliced from 2 exons.